Molecule: long non-coding RNA, 1058 nt
Organism: Centruroides sculpturatus (bark scorpion)
Lineage: Eukaryota; Metazoa; Arthropoda; Arachnida; Scorpiones; Buthidae
Exons: 4
Source: RefSeq, a predicted model, not a curated record
ACAGACAUGUAUUGUUGAAACAUUACAUCCACUUCAAAUGGUUGUAAAACAUGCUGAUGAUUGUGUUCUGCAUGCAGUUUGUCUUUUUUUUCCACUCAUGAAAAAACAAACUGAAUUGAGUAUAAUUUUGUCUGACGAGGCUAGGCAGCUGCUCCCUGGUAUAGAUCCGGACGAUAAAGGUAUAAAUGGACAUGCAUUAUUUCUUGCAUUGGCUAACGUUGCGCCCGCUCAUUUGCCAAUAAAGACUAGACGGCCAGACCUAUAAAGACUUUUUUCACUUAUCAUUCAGUUUACAUUUCUUUUUAUGUCCCAUAAUACUAGUCCCUUCGACGUCGGGCUUCUUGUUACCCAGAGAGUAUAUAUUCCAAGAAUUUUGGUCAGCUAUACCUCCGGAUCCGAAACUUGUUACGAAAGUCUCUUUGCAUCGAUAAAUUCAGGACGAGUAGGUAUUUACUUCCGGGGGGACAAAUUGAUACUAAAGUAGAAUCGAGUGAAGAUCGAUGGAAAAAUUAAAAUUUAUAAGCUUUUUUUCCGCUAGUUUUGUUACCGGAUAAAAAUAAUCGACGAAAAACUACUUAUAUUUUACAAACAAAAUAGCGUUUAUAAUCUCUUCAUUAAAAUUGCUAGCAUAGUUUUGGAUAAGGAAAAUCAACCAGAAGGGAGUAUUUUUUUAAAGGAUCAACAGUUUUGACUUCUAAAAGUGUAAUAAAUCGAUACCGGAUCAAAGCAUGUUACGGGCCAUGGUAUAAAAAUUGUUUAUUUAUUUAUUUUUACAAGUAAAUAGAAAAGUCCCGAAGGACGGUUAAGAUCUACCAUCCAAAAUUAACAGAUAUACAGUACUGUACAGUACAUAAAAACAAAUACAGCAAUUACAUAAAAAUACAACAAUUGCAUAAAAUUAAAAAUUGUAGGCUAUAACGUGUUUUUUGCAUUUAAUUUAAAACAAAAAAAAUUAAGAAAUAAAAAAUUAUCAAAAGUAUUUAAAUUUUGAGAAAUACGAUUUUAAAAAGUGGCCUUUGAGAUAUACUCAAACUAAAGAAUGGAAUGAACAUACUAGA